GAUGAAGAACGCAGCGAAAUGCGAUAAGUAAUGUGAAUUGCAGAAUUCAGUGAAUCAUCGAAUCUUUGAACGCACAUUGCGCCCCCUGGUAUUCCGGGGGGCAUGCCUGUCCGAGCGUCAUUACAACCCUCAAGCUCAGCUUGGUGUUGGGCCCCGCCGCCCCGGCGGGCCCUAAAGUCAGUGGCGGUGCCGUCCGGCUCCGAGCGUAGUAAUUCUUCUCGCUCUGGAGGUCCGGUCGUGUGCUCGCCAGCAACCCCCAAUUUUUUUCGGGUUGACCUCGGAUCAGGUAGGGAUACCCGCUGAACUUAAGCAUAUCAAUAAGCGGAGGA
RNAcentral lists this unclassified non-coding RNA (329 nucleotides) under soil metagenome. Its description in RNAcentral is "partial contains 5.8S ribosomal RNA, internal transcribed spacer 2, and large subunit ribosomal RNA". The stretch from base 1 to 120 matches the Rfam family "5.8S ribosomal RNA", at positions 35 to 154 of the family's 154-position model. The record is from RNAcentral.